RNAcentral lists this unclassified non-coding RNA (241 nucleotides) under Chytridiomycota sp. RNAcentral's name for it is "partial contains small subunit ribosomal RNA, internal transcribed spacer 1, and 5.8S ribosomal RNA". The stretch from base 1 to 47 matches the Rfam family "Eukaryotic small subunit ribosomal RNA", at positions 1785 to 1831 of the family's 1831-position model. Lineage: Eukaryota; Fungi; Chytridiomycota. The record is from RNAcentral.
AAAGUCGUAACAAGGUAACCGUAGGUGAACCUGCGGUUGGAUCAUUAACAAUCCAACGAGCCUUGGGUUCAGCUUGCUGAAUGCCUUGGCUCAAACUGGCUUCGGCCUUUAACCUUUUGUGAACCGUUAUUUGCUCUGGCUCUUGCUUCGGCUCUAGUCAGGGUAUUCUUAUACUUUAUUUUGACUGUCUUAUAGUAGAUGCAAAUCUUUACAACUUUUGACAACGGAUCUCUUGGCUCUC